GCAUAAUCAACUUAUAUCAUGCAUAAUGUUGGAGUAAAAAUGAAGAAAAACACAACAAAACUAGAUUCAUCUCACCGGAUCAGCAGCGGCAGGUUAGAUCAAUGCAGUGAUCACACUCAGGCGAGGAAACAUGUGUUAAUUACGCUUGGCACGGAGUUCACGGAAUUCACGAAUCACUGUGUCAAUAUUGUCAUACAGGUCAAAUUUAAUGCGCUCUUGUCGUUUAGUAAGCGCGAACACAGAGCCAUUGAAGAACCACGUUGACUCUAUGUCUUUGUGGAGCUGAAGUCGGCUCAUCAGUCCUGUAUUAAGGGCGGUGACGUCAUCAACCAGGCGCCGGCCAGCGUUCUUCAUUUCUUUUCGCUUCCUCAUCACUGCGCUUUUAUCGUCGUUAUUCCUGAGCUUUAUGAGAACAGGUCUUGUCUGCCCCUUUUUAGUAGGGAUUCGAUGCAUAGCAACGAUCUGUUCUGGCUUGAUAUCAAUAUUUUGUUGUAGAAAUAAAGCUGUUAUUUUUGCCGAGAGAGUUGGUAUGUUUUCGUAUUGGUCCUCUUUAACAUCCAUAAUUUUUAUAUUGUUUUUUCUCGAAUACUGUUCAUUGUGAUUGGAUCUCUUGCUGUUUUCUUCAUUUAACCGUGCGUUGUUAUUUAUACGUUCGUUCAUACUUUCUAUUGCUGUUUUGUGUUCUUUUAUUAAUUCAACUUGUUUUUCUCGUAGAGCUUCGUUUUCAAAUUGUAAGCUUUUUAUUUGGUCAGCAAAUUCUUUGGUUAUUUCCUUCAAGCUAUUUUCUGUGAUUUUAAUUAGUUUAUUUUCAAGUUCCAGUUCACGCCGGGUAUGCGAAUACUUCGUUUACGGAUGGCACUUCACUAACAGAGAACAACAAACGCCACGCGCUAGAGGAUCAGCUGAGGAUAUUACUCAAUUGCCGAGUUCCCCGGACUAUUCUGUGAACAGCAGAACAUAACCAUGUGUGAUCUGCAGAAUGAGAACAUUAGCAAAUUAAAACCUGAUUUUGCACUAUCAAAUGGUCUUGUAACAACUACAUUGAAUGCUUAGUUUUUAUAUUAUUGACAUGUUGUGUUGUUUUGUUAUAUUUUGUGAUGUCUUUAUUCGACAAAAAAAAGUCGAAAAUAAAAAUA
Molecule: long non-coding RNA, 1136 nt
Organism: Dreissena polymorpha
Lineage: Eukaryota; Metazoa; Mollusca; Bivalvia; Myida; Dreissenidae
Exons: 2
Source: RefSeq, a predicted model, not a curated record